RNAcentral lists this long non-coding RNA (2761 nucleotides) under Mus musculus (house mouse). RNAcentral describes it as "long non-coding RNA chr10:95531145-95533906". Lineage: Eukaryota; Metazoa; Chordata; Mammalia; Rodentia; Muridae. The record is from RNAcentral.
GAAGCUGCUGCUAUUCCACUAUUUGUUCCCUUGGUGCUAACUCCUGACAUUCUUUCUACAAUGGACUCUUCUAAUUAAGUUCUGGCACACAGGGUUUUUGUUUUGUUUUUGUUUUUUGUUUGUUUUGUUUUGUUUUAAACAGAGUUUUGCAUAGCCUGGGUUAGCUUAAAUUUGAUGUGUAGCUGAGGAUAACUUUGAAUUCCUGAUCCUUUUGCUUCUGACACCCAAGUAUUUGAUAUAAAUGCCUGUAUCAAAAAUUGAGGAAUUAAUAUUGAGGUGGCAAGGAGAGAUCCAUAAAAGUUUGUGGGUGGGUGUGUUUAUGUGUGUCUAGGGGUGUGUGCUGAUUGCCAAAUCAAGGGUGUUUACUUGUGAAGCAGCCAAAAGAAUAAUGGAUGGAACAGUGGAUAUCUACAAGUCUGAUUUUGCUAUUACUUUACCGUGCAGUCUUACACUGUGGCUAUCAUUUGGUUACCUCACAUUUCCAUAUUUUUCUACGGCUCCAGCUCCAACAUAAUAGGAAGAAUAAGGAAAGGAAAUAUGUGUGUGAACAAAGGAAAAUAUGAAUGAUUAAGGGAAAUUUUUUUAAUCAAAAUUCAAAUUCAGUUUUACUAAUGCGUUACAUGGGAUGUUAAGUUUACCAUAUAAAACUAACAUCUAACAAGCAGCUCCCCUGGUUGUCAUUGAUGAUGAAGCCAGACCCCUUUUUCUUCCCCUAUUAAGUUACUAUUCUCGGAUAUAAAAUAUGCAAGCUAAAAAAACCAAAAAACCUCACCAAUGACAGAGCGCGCAUGGGUUGGACCUACCCCCCCCCCCCCAUUUGUAACAGAAGUGCAGCUUGGUCUUCAUGCAGAUCCCUCAACAACUGGAACAGGUUUGUCCCUGAGUCAGUUGCCUGUGUGUGGCUCUCGUUCCCCUCACUGGGGAACUUCACUGGAAGCGGAUGACUCUAGUCCUGUAGAGACUUAAUGUUCUGGGACAAGGGUGGGUGGUCAUACCCAGAGAGGGCUCCCCCUUUUCAGAGGAGAAAGGGAGGAGAGGGGGUCUGAUAUUGAAUGUUAAGUGAACAGAUAAAUAAUUUUUAAAAGCCAGCUUGUCAAAUUUAUUAGUGUUUUAGAAACUUGGCCUAACAAGACUUCCAGUGGAGUGUUAAUAAUACUAAGUUAGAUCCUUUUCUUUUAGUGAGCAGUGAAAAUUCCUUUUUGAAAUAACAAGCACAGAGUACUCAAUAGCAGAAGUGAAGCAGUUUGUGACCUUGCAAGUGUGGGUGCCCUCAUUGAGAGCAGAGAACUUUUAUGACCCUAAACACCAGUCUCUCCCUCCUUCUCUUCAUUGGCUGAGUAAUGGAGGAUUGCAGUCUUUUAAAAGAAGAUUUAUUUUUAUCUUAUGAGUGUUUGGUUUGUGUGCCACAAUUACAGAUGGUUGUUAGCUGCCAUGUGGGAAGGUUGGGAAUAGAACCUGGGUCCUCUGGAAGAGCAAGAAGUGGGUGCUGUGCUCUUAGCUGCUGAGCCAUCUCUCCAGACCCAGGGUUACACCCUUAUAUACAUUGUCACUUUCCCAACAAGUACACCUGCAUUGAUUUAGCAUCAUUUACAUCUCGUUGGCUAAAAAACAUUGCAGAAAUGUUAUUUAGGCAGUGGUGGUGCACAUGUUUAAUCCCAGCGCUUGGGAGGCAGAGGCAGAGGCAGGUGGAUCUCUUGAGUUUGAGGCCAGCCUGGUCUUCCACAGAAAUCUCAACUAAGCUAGGACUUUUCCACUAAGGCCAAAACUUUGUAAGCAAGCACUUAUGGCUGACAAGGCAGUUAACAUUCAAACAGGGUCGCUCCCAACACAGAGCUACACAGAAACCUUGUUUUGAAAUGUUGUGGGAAAUACUGAAAAAGAAUGGCAAGUUCCCAUGCUACACCCAGCUACUCUCUGCCAAGGUGGUCUGUGCACUAGUGGGCAAUGGCUGGCCAGUUCUUAUCUUGUGGAGACUCUGACUCAGCUCCAAAAUCUCUCCACCCAACUCACUAAGUUCCCACUGGCUGGUUGUUACCACACCAGCCCCAUGCUUCAAAACUCCCACGGCCUUUUGUGGUGCAUAUCAGGCAUACCCACGCUUUGCCGUACCUUUCUCUCUGGAACCCAGUUGAACCGCUGUGUGAAGGAAAACACCACACAAACUUAGUUCAAAAACAAUGGUAACUCAAUCCCUGGGUGCAACAACUAGAAUCCUAAUCUUGUAAGCCAUAUUAAAUCUAAAUCCCCAAGUGGUGAAUCCUGACAGAUCUGCCAUUGAAACCUGAAGACACUAGUAGCUACUUCUUGUAGUUGGACGGAGGAAGAGAGGAAGCAGGAGAGAGUUAGGGGCUUUUUGGAUGGGGAUAGGAGAGGACAAGCAUGGGACUGGCGGGGUAGCAACCGGGCAGUGGGAACUUAGUGAAGCUGGGUGGAGAGAAUCUGGCACUGAGUCAGAGAGUCUCCAGGAGUUAAGAACAGGCCAGCCAUUGCCCGCUAGAGCCGGUCAGCCCGCUGGGACAGAGAGUAGCUGGAUGUAGCCCUGGAACUUGCAGGUUUUUUUUUUUUUUUUUUAAUAUUUCCCGAAACAUCAAAAAACAAAAACAGCAGAAAAAAAUGUUGACCUUGUCCUGUUUGCCUGCAGUUUAGGCAGCUUGGCAGUUAAUUAUUUUUACUCUAAAUGUCUAGGUUCAGUGGGGAUAGCUAGACUAUAAGACAUUAACAGGUCUAUUCAUCUGUAGCUGGGCCUAAGCUUCUGUUUUGG